CCGACCCCUGACCCCGGCGGCGGGCCUGCGCCCCCUGACCCCGACGCGCCCGGGCCACCUUCCCACCCGGGGGACUAGACCCGACCCACUGGGGACCCUGCGACCCCUGACCCCUGCCCCCUGCCCCGAGACGUCCACCUGGGAAGGACCGGGUGUCAUCCCGUGGUGGCUCCUGGUCCCGGCUCCGGGCCGCGCCCACCCCCAUCCUCCCCAGGCCCCGACCCGCCGGGAGCCUCUCGCCCUGUGACCCCGUGCACCCCCCCACCCGGGCCCGUCCCACCCCGAUCUCCAACCCCGGGUCUCCCCAAAGCCCGCGGCGGCCGCGCCCCCGGGACACACCCCCGGGCCACCGGCUGCCCCGCGAGCUGCUCCCGGCCCCGCUCCUCCUGCCGCCGCGCCUUCCGGGGGCUCCCACCCUGGGGACCUUCCACGCCGCCCCCGCCGUGCUCCUUCUCUGGGCUUCACGGGAGCGUGACCUGACCGAGGUCACUCGCCAGGCUUGGUGACAAAGUCACAGCCGGCGCUGACGCUCGCGUCUCAGCCGGGCCCGCGAGCUUCUGCGCGUCCACCCGCGGGGGCACCGCCCGGCCCGUCCGAGAAGGGGUCUCCCCCCCGGGAAGGAGCUUGCUGGGCCGGGGGCCGGGGGCCGGGGUUCCCGAGCACAGGGCGGUCCCAGGUGUCGCCUGACACCUGCCGCGGGCCGGGCCGGGGUGCUGGCUGGGCUCCCGGGCUGCACAGAGCGGCUGAUGCUGACGCUCAGGCGCUGGGGCGCGGCCGGCCCGGUUGGUCAGGACCUGCUGGUUCUUUGGGGUUUGGUGGAAGGAGCGCCAGUGGGGCCCGGACCGACCUGGGUGUGGGCUGGCCACAGCCUCCCGGGGGCCCUUGAGCCCCCCAGUCCCUCGUGGGCCAGAGUGGCCUGCUCUCUGCCUGGUGAGGCCAUGCUGAGGUGGCCCUCCUGCCCCCUCCCCUCCCCAGGACCGCUCGGGGCCCCUCCGGAGGCUGUGAGUGGGGCUGUGGAGGAUUAUGGGAUCGGGGUUCCUUUAUUGGGCUCCUGGGGUCUGUGGAUGCCUGAGAGUGGGGACAGAAGCCGCGUGGAGGAGAGGGAGCCCUGUCUUCCCCAGACCUCAGAUGGGGCCACUUCUGAGGGGCUGGGCUCUGUCUGCUGCUCCCCGGUUUAGGAGCAGAUGGGUGUUUGGGGCGACCAGCAGACAGGCCCUGGGCAGGUGGCCCCAGAGUCGUCAGCCCCGAGUCCGUCUCCGCUGAGCUGGAGCGGCGAGGCCCCUCGUUCCCGGAAUCUGCCCCAGUUCCCGUCGGCACGUGAGGCCGGCGGCUGGUUCUGAGCCGCCUCAAGUUCCAGAACGCCCGCUGUUGUGUUUCCGGUCGCUGGCUUCCGGACUCUCGCUGCGAGACCGAGGUCCCCUCGCGGACUUCCUCUCAGCCUCUUCCUGGGCCGCCGGUUCCGCCAGCUCCUGCUGCGGGCUGCCCAGGUGCCCGCUUCCCCGCCCUCCUCAGGCCGUUUGGAGACCUGUGUCCCACAUGCCAGCUGCUGGGGGCAAGAGGUGGCCGCUGGGCCCGUGUUUGGGGCCCUUAGAAGCCCGUCCCCCCACCCGCCUGGGCUGCCACCUCGGCUGGUUCUCCUGGCGCGGAGGCCCAGAGCUGGCACUGGACUCUGGACCCUGGGCUUCCUGACCCUGCAGCCCCGAGCAGGAGGCCAUGGCGGGAGGGGCACCAAUGUGGGCAGCAGAGGUGAUGGGGUGCCCUCGGGGUCCCCAAGGAUUAAGGAGAGGAUGUGUGUGAAGCCCCUAGAGUCCCUGCUCUGAGUGGGAUCCCUGAACCUGUUCCCCAUGCCGCCUCAAGCUGGGCCCUGGGACCCAGGGGGGAGUGGGCAGACGAGGAGGAAGGCACAGACUGGCUGUGGGGCAUGCGGUCUGUGUGACAUGCGGCAGCUGCAGCCUCGAGAAGGCAGCAGGAGCCUGUGCAAAGGCCCUGGGGCUGGCAGAACAGCAAGGCCAGUGCAGCCAGGGAGGUGAGAGCACAGGGUUCUCUGGGGUGGCAGAGAUUGGGGGGCUGUAUUACCCCAGACCUGAGGGGUGACCGAACCACCCUGCUGGUCAGAGGGUGGGAAGGCCACGGAUGAGACUCCUGAAAUCCCUAGAAGGGAGAAGCGGGGAGGGCUGCCUGGUGCCGCCUCACCUGGGGCUGCCCUGUGUGGCUGAUGACAGGUCUGGAGGGGACUGAAACCGAUUCUGCCUGCUUGUUCCAUAAUGGGGAAACUGAGGCCCGGAUCGGGGGCGGGCCUUGUCAGUUGGGGCAGAAACUCCUGGCCCCGCCCCCAGGGACCCACCCCCUCUGUCAAGGGCAGUCGACCCCACCUGGGGCCUCAGGUAGCGAUCAAGGUGCUGGUGGGGCUGUUGGCGAAGGCCCCAUGGUGGCGCUGGGCCCUGGGGGCUGCUCAGCAGCAUCGUGCGCCUGGGUGCCGCCAGGUCUCUCCUUCACGUGUCCUCGGGACUUACCUCCUGGGCUCCCUCCUGGCCGUGUGACCUCGCUGCUCCAGUCCCCCCAUCUGUUGUGCCGUGCUGUCCUCUUGGCCCACAGUGGGCGGCAUCCUGGGCUCGGCUCCCGCUGGACAUCUGGCCUGCAGAGCCUGGUGGACUGAGCCGAGGGCGGCGGGUACCAGGCCUCACGACCCGUCUCUGGCUCGGCGGGCCCCCAGACACGACGCUGGCGUGCAGGUCCCCGGGGUGCUUGCCUGCAGCCACGCCUCAGGGAGCAGGCUGCCUGGCCUGUGGGACACUCCGCAGCUGAGGCCCUGGCUCUGGCCUUGGCUUCAGCGUCCGCCCUCGACCUGCACACCUGGGGUCUGGGCGGGGCCACCUCUCUCUGCCCACAUCUCAGCGGUGCCCCUGGCUCGAGUGGCCCAGGGGAGGAAGAUCGGGGCUGGCACAGCUGAGGGCCUCG
Molecule: long non-coding RNA, 2958 nt
Organism: Equus quagga
Lineage: Eukaryota; Metazoa; Chordata; Mammalia; Perissodactyla; Equidae
Exons: 2
Source: RefSeq, a predicted model, not a curated record